Molecule: ribosomal RNA, 767 nt
Filed under: uncultured bacterium
Lineage: Bacteria
Description: bacterial SSU rRNA
Rfam family: Bacterial small subunit ribosomal RNA
Source: RNAcentral
AACGCUGGCGGCAUGCUUUACACAUGCAAGUCGAACGGUAACAGGUCUUCGGAUGCUGACGAGUGGCGAACGGGUGAGUAAUACAUCGGAACGUGCCUAGUAGUGGGGGAUAACUACUCGAAAGAGUAGCUAAUACCGCAUGAGAUCUACGGAUGAAAGCGGGGGACCUUCGGGCCUUGUGCUACUAGAGCGGCUGAUGGCAGAUUAGGUAGUUGGUGGGGUAAAGGCUUACCAAGCCUGCGAUCUGUAGCUGGUCUGAGAGGACGACCAGCCACACUGGGACUGAGACACGGCCCAGACUCCUACGGGAGGCAGCAGUGGGGAAUUUUGGACAAUGGGCGAAAGCCUGAUCCAGCAAUGCCGCGUGCAGGAUGAAGGCCCUCGGGUUGUAAACUGCUUUUGUACGGAACGAAAAGCCUGGGGCUAAUAUCCCCGAGUCAUGACGGUACCGUAAGAAUAAGCACCGGCUAACUACGUGCCAGCAGCCGCGGUAAUACGUAGGGUGCAAGCGUUAAUCGGAAUUACUGGGCGUAAAGCGUGCGCAGGCGGUUUUGUAAGACAGUGGUGAAAUCCCCGGGCUCAACCUGGGAACUGCCAUUGUGACUGCAAGGCUGGGGUGCGGCAGAGGGGGAUGGAAUUCCGCGUGUAGCAGUGAAAUGCGUAGAUAUGCGGGGGAACACCGAUGGCGAAGGCAAUCCCCUGGGCCUGCACUGACGCUCAUGCACGAAAGCGUGGGGAGCUAACAGGAUUAGAUACCCUGGUAGUCC